UACGUAGGGGGCAAGCGUUGUCCGGAUUUAUUGGGCGUAAAGAGCGUGUAGGCGGCCAGGUAGGUCAGCUGUGAAAACUCGAGGCUCAACCUCGAGACGCCGGUUGAAACCAUCUGGCUAGAGUCCGGAAGAGGAGAGUGGAAUUCCUGGUGUAGCGGUGAAAUGCGCAGAUAUCAGGAGGAACACCCAUGGCGAAGGCAGCUUCCUGGGUCCAAUCUGACGCUGAGGCGCGAAAGCGUGGGGAGCGAACGGG
RNAcentral lists this ribosomal RNA (253 nucleotides) under uncultured bacterium. RNAcentral describes it as "partial 16S ribosomal RNA". It matches the Rfam family "Bacterial small subunit ribosomal RNA", at positions 524 to 776 of the family's 1533-position model. The record is from RNAcentral.